RNAcentral lists this ribosomal RNA (458 nucleotides) under uncultured bacterium. Its description in RNAcentral is "bacterial SSU rRNA". It matches the Rfam family "Bacterial small subunit ribosomal RNA", at positions 33 to 507 of the family's 1533-position model. The record is from RNAcentral.
ACGCUGGCGGCGUGCUUAACACAUGCAAGUCGAGCGAUGAAGCACCUUCGGGUGUGAAUUAGCGGCGAACGGGUGAGGAACACGUGAGAAAUCUGCCUUCAACACUGGGAUAACUCCGGGAAACCGGGGCUAAUACCGGAUAUGAAACCUGCGGGCAUCCGCGGGUUUGGAAAGUUUUUCGGUUGAAGAUGAUCUCGCGGCCUAUCAGCUUGUUGGUGAGGUAAUGGCUCACCAAGGCGACGACGGGUAGCCGGCCUGAGAGGGCGACCGGCCACACUGGGACUGAGACACGGCCCAGACUCCUACGGGAGGCAGCAGUGGGGAAUAUUGGGCAAUGGAGGAAACUCUGACCCAGCGACGCCGCGUGCGGGAUGAAGGCCUUCGGGUUGUAAACCGCUUUCAGCAGGGAAGAAGCGAAAGUGACGGUACCUGCAGAAGAAGCACCGGCUAACUAUGUG